GAAGGAAGGAAGGAAGGAAGAAAAACAAGCACAAGGGAUGGACUGGGGGAAGGAAUAGCUGGACCCUGUGCUACCAUUAAGGAUUUGCCUUGCCCAAGCCUGUGUCUCCAAUGCUAAAAAGGACUGGGCCUGCUGAGGAGAGGAAGCAUGUCUCUGUAUACGUCUGUGGCUUAACUAAAGUCGGGUGUCUUACUUCAUGAAUUCUUUGCAAGUCUAAAGAAAUUAGGUCUUCAAUCACGGACAGUGGAGAUCACUCUGUUUUCCAUGCUCCUACUUUUCACUUCUUUCCUUCAAGAUGUAUGUGGGAAACCUUCUCUCGGUCCCAGGAGGACGGAAAGGGACUUCUGUCACAUCUUAGUAUUGUUGUUCCUUGACCACCAAGAGAAGCACUGAAGAAUGAAAGAAAAUAUUGCCCUCUCCACAAGGAACUUAAACACUCAACCAUCUGCUAGCCCAGGGAAUGACUAAAACGUUAAGAUGCAGAUUUUCAAAGGAUCUCAGCUCCCACCUAAAUGCCUAGCACCAAUUAUUGGGCUGCUUUGGUCUUUCUCUUUCCCCUUGAUUUAAAGAGUCAAUGUUGCUGGAAAGAGGAUAAACUACCUCUUUAUAUGAGGUUCCUGGCUGCAUGGCUGGUGGACUAGGACUUCCUCUGGAAAAGGGGUGGGGGGAAAAGGAGUAAAGAAGCCACCCUUGUUGAGCUAUUGGCUGGGACUCCAGUCUCUGGGACCAAUAUUUAAAACUCAGACCUGUCCCAUCCAAACAGGGGCUGUUGGCAACCAGCUCUACAAAUUGUACUCAUGAGAACAACACUGCAUUUUCAGAGAGACAAUUGGUUCAUCUAAUAGGUUUCUCCUCAUCUCCAAUAAUACAUAUAUAGAGAUGUCCAUGACAACUUUAAAGUUUCAGACUUAAGCCAUUUUUGAAUAGUGAAGGUUUUUUUUGUUUUUGUUUUUUCCCAUCCUCUCCAAGCUCAAAAAUAACUGGAAAUAUUUUGCUCAAACUUUAAAAAAAAAAAAUCACCUUGAGGCAGAGACCAAGCAUGGAAAUUUUCAGCUUAAAAGGUGAAUAUUUCAGAAUGUUAUAAACAUGGGAAAAUGGGCUUGUGACUAAAGGUGUUUUGUAACCUUAACUAUAACAGGUGCUAUUGAGCUAUUGUACUAUCCUUUCUCUGUAUUUCUUCUUGUAUUUAGGGCUAUAAGACAUAACUACAAGUCUGAAUGGCCAAGAAAAAAACACCACAUUUUUUAAACAAUGCAAGCAGUUAGAGGAGCUGAUAAACUUUACUGGAUUCUAAAGUAAGUCUAUAGUCAGUCUUUUUAUCAUACAUUUUUUACAGAUGCACAAAUUCACAUGAAUCAGGUAGAAAUAUUAAUGUUAGACAACCUUUCAAAAAUACAUAUGUUUCUACCAUUGACAAAACAGAGAGCCGAAGCUUCAUCCUAAAUUGGCACAUAAAUAUCAUUAUUUAUAACUACAUUUUAAAAUUGUAAUUGUGAAGCCCUUGUAACAGCUUUUGAUUAUUAUACUA
Molecule: long non-coding RNA, 1528 nt
Organism: Mauremys reevesii (Reeves's turtle)
Lineage: Eukaryota; Metazoa; Chordata; Testudines; Geoemydidae
Exons: 3
Source: RefSeq, a predicted model, not a curated record